Molecule: ribosomal RNA, 516 nt
Filed under: Microbacterium petrolearium
Lineage: Bacteria; Bacillati; Actinomycetota; Actinomycetes; Micrococcales; Microbacteriaceae
Description: bacterial SSU rRNA
Rfam family: Bacterial small subunit ribosomal RNA
Source: RNAcentral
ACGCCGCGUGAGGGAUGACGGCCUUCGGGUUGUAAACCUCUUUUAGCAGGGAAGAAGCGAGAGUGACGGUACCUGCAGAAAAAGCGCCGGCUAACUACGUGCCAGCAGCCGCGGUAAUACGUAGGGCGCAAGCGUUAUCCGGAAUUAUUGGGCGUAAAGAGCUCGUAGGCGGUUUGUCGCGUCUGCUGUGAAAACUGGAGGCUCAACCUCCAGCCUGCAGUGGGUACGGGCAGACUAGAGUGCGGUAGGGGGAGAUUGGAAUUCCUGGUGUAGCGGUGGAAUGCGCAGAUAUCAGGAGGAACACCGAUGGCGAAGGCAGAUCUCUGGGCCGUAACUGACGCUGAGGAGCGAAAGGGUGGGGAGCGAACAGGCUUAGAUACCCUGGUAGUCCACCCCGUAAACGUUGGGAACUAGUUGUGGGGACCUUUCCACGGUUUCCGUGACGCAGCUAACGCAUUAAGUUCCCCGCCUGGGGAGUACGGCCGCAAGGCUAAAACUCAAAUGAAUUGACGGGGA